UGGGAUUCCGCAACAUUCUCACCUUCGACGACAAAGACAUUUCCACCGAAUACUCCGCGUUGAUGAGCAAGGUGAUGAGCAAUGGCAACGGCUUCGUGAAGUUUCCAAUCAACGAACCGGCCGAGGGCAAAAAGAAAUCGCAGGUGGAAGAGUAUCUCGAUUUUUACAACGGCGAAGGUGUGCAGCACGUCGCGAUCGCGACCAAGGAUAUCGUCAAGACCGUGACCGAGGUUCAGAAGCGCGGCAUCGAGUUCUUGAAUAUUCCAUCCACGUAUUACGAUGAGUUACCCGCUCGCGUCGGUCA
Molecule: unclassified non-coding RNA, 304 nt
Filed under: fungal sp.
Lineage: Eukaryota; Fungi
Description: partial internal transcribed spacer region
Source: RNAcentral